This 413-nucleotide ribosomal RNA is filed under the name uncultured bacterium. RNAcentral describes it as "bacterial SSU rRNA". It matches the Rfam family "Bacterial small subunit ribosomal RNA", at positions 46 to 506 of the family's 1533-position model. The record is from RNAcentral.
GCUUAAACAUGCAAGUCGAACGAACCUUCGGGUUAGUGGCGGACGGGUGAGUAACGCGUGAGAAUCUGCCCUCAGGAGGGGGAUAACAGCUGGAAACGGCUGCUAAUACCCCAUAUGCCGCGAGGUGAAAUGAAUUUCGCCUGAGGAUGAGCUCGCGUCUGAUUAGCUAGUUGGUGUAGGUAAUGGCUCACCAAGGCAUCGAUCAGUAGCUGGUCUGAGAGGAUGAUCAGCCACACUGGGACUGAGACACGGCCCAGACUCCUACGGGAGGCAGCAGUGGGGAAUUUUCCGCAAUGGGCGAAAGCCUGACGGAGCAACGCCGCGUGAGGGAUGAAGGCCUCUGGGCUGUAAACCUCUUUUAUCAAGGAAGAAGAUCUGACGGUACUUGAUGAAUAAGCCACGGCUAAUUCCGU